CUCAGAUAAAGUUUAUCUGGAAAGUUCAGUCCUGGCAGGAUUACAGGUUUUCCUCUUGACUUGGCAAAAGUCUUAGGAGCAAAACAAGGCACUUCAAGGAAAUGACACUAAAUGCCCUGGUUUUUCUCAGGGACUGUGCACACUGCCAUGGCUAGAACUGGAAAAGCAGAGUAGAUGCUGAAGAAUGCUGCCCAGAUCCACACUUCAACUCUGAACUGAAUCAGCAUGGUCUGGGCAUGGAGGAUCCACCUGAAGAUUGUUACCAAUAGCCAUAAAAUGAGAACUGGAGGGGAAGAUCUUGGCCUGUUGAUUUUCUAAAAGAAGCUUGCUGAGGAUGGUUUUCCUGAUGCAAACUAGGAUGUUCUGGUCGGAGGAGGAGCUCAAGACCUUGCUGUCACUGAGAAUGGCUGCUGUUUUCAUCAGGGGAGCUCUGAUCUUCACUGUGAGCAUCACUUCCUGGCUCCAAUGUGGAUCCCUCAGCUUAGUGGCACAAAUCCUUCAUCUCACCAAUGUAGAUUUUUUGUCUUCCACCACUGGGGUUUAGGCCUUCCAGGUGCAGAUCCUCAGUAUGGACAAGCAUGAGACACUGCCUUAGACUCAAAGCCUUUAGCUGG
This 614-nucleotide long non-coding RNA is filed under the name Heterocephalus glaber (naked mole-rat). RNAcentral describes it as "lncRNA (ENSHGLG00100041680.1)". Lineage: Eukaryota; Metazoa; Chordata; Mammalia; Rodentia; Bathyergidae. The record is from RNAcentral.